This 157-nucleotide ribosomal RNA is filed under the name uncultured bacterium. Its description in RNAcentral is "partial 16S ribosomal RNA". It matches the Rfam family "Bacterial small subunit ribosomal RNA", at positions 354 to 528 of the family's 1533-position model. The record is from RNAcentral.
GGAAAAUAUUUUGACAUAAGGGCGAAAGCCUGAUCCAGCAAUGCCGCGUGAGUGAUGAAGGCCUUAGGGUUGUAAAGCUCUUUUACCCGGGAUGAUAAUGACAGUACCGGGAGAAUAAGCCCCGGCUAACUCCGUGCCAGCAGCCGCGGUAAUUAAA